GACGAACGCUGGCGGCGUGCCUAUACCAUCAAAUUGGACGCACAGGUUAUACCGUAGCUUGCUACCCCCUAGCCUGGGAGUUGCGAACGGGUGAGUAACGCGUAGGUUACCUGCCUGGUAGCGGGGGAUAACUAUUGGAAACGAUAGCUAAUACCGCCUAAUAUUGGUUAUUGCAUGAUAAUUUAUUGAAAGGUGCAAUUGCACCACUACCAGAUGGACCUGCGUUGUAUUUGCUAGUAGGUGAGGUAACGGCUCACCUAGGCGACGAUACAUAGCCGACCGGAGAGGGUGAUCGGCCACACUGGGACUGAGACACGGCCCAGACUCCUACGGGAGGCAGCAGUAGGGAAUCUUCGGCAAUGGACGAAAGUCUGACCGAGCAACGCCGCGUGAGUGAAGAAGGUUUUCGGAUCGUAAAGCUCUGUUGUAAGAGAAGAACGGGUGUGAGAGUGGAAAGUUCACACUGUGACGGUAUCUGACCAGAAAGGGACGGCUAACUACGUG
Molecule: ribosomal RNA, 504 nt
Filed under: uncultured bacterium
Lineage: Bacteria
Description: partial 16S ribosomal RNA
Rfam family: Bacterial small subunit ribosomal RNA
Source: RNAcentral